CAGUAGCCGCGGGAAUACGAAGGGGGCUAGCGUUGUUCGGAAUUACUGGGCGUAAAGCGCACGUAGGCGGGUAUUUAAGUCAGGGGUGAAAUCCCGCAGCUCAACUGCGGAACUGCCUUUGAUACUGGGUAUCUUGAGUAUGGAAGAGGUUAGUGGAAUUGCGAGUGUAGAGGUGAAAUUCGUAGAUAUUCGCAGGAACACCAGUGGCGAAGGCGGCUAACUGGUCCAUAACUGACGCUGAGGUGCGAAAGCGUGGGGAGCAAACAGGAUUAGAUACCCCUGUAGUCCCUGUCUCUUAUAA
This 301-nucleotide ribosomal RNA is filed under the name uncultured bacterium. RNAcentral's name for it is "partial 16S ribosomal RNA". It matches the Rfam family "Bacterial small subunit ribosomal RNA", at positions 509 to 809 of the family's 1533-position model. The record is from RNAcentral.